UCAAGAUUGAUGACAGCACGGUAACACCUGUGGAGAUUGGAAGGGUCUUAACAGAAGGGGCAUACAUGCUUCUUUAUGCAAGGUGCUCACCAAGGGCUCCAGGACUGAUAAGGAACAGAGUAGUAUCUCCAGAUCCGAAAAUAAAAGGCAGUCCAUCCAGAAUCAAUGCUAAGAAUACUGCACUGAAUUCAAGAUCCACAUCUUCUCACUCAAGUGCUGUUCGGUUACAUCCAAAUUCAAUUCCUCCGGAUAGGUUGGCCGGUGUUGAAUCUUUCUAUUUGAAGUUCCACCGCCUUCAAAAGAUUUUGGGAGAGGACUCAUCAAGUGACAAUUAUUCUUUUUCUAGCAGCAACUCCGAUGAGGGUUCAUGCAGUACUGAGAGCACCCGAGAUUCUAUGAGUACUGAUGACCUUUCAGAUUACAUUUUUGGUGGCUGUAGCAACUCUAGGAGGAACACAUUGGAUUCUGACACUUGUUCAUCAUCCUCUUCUUCCCCUUUGUAUUCAAGGCGCUCGCCUGAAACAAGGAGGUCUCGAAUUGAUCAUGCAGAUUCAGCAAUGGAGGGGGGUGAUUGGGAAGUCAAGGGAGGUGAUCCUUUUUUGCUUUCUGACAGGAGUAAACAAUUUAGAAAAUUAGGAAGUAGUAGUAGUUGUAGGGAGAUUGACUCAAAAUUAGGAUUGGUUAACCCUGUAAAAUCUGGCGUAUCCUUUAGAAGAUCAAUGAGCGAGAGGGCAGAUUAAGCAUUUUUCAGUCAGGUAAUUAAGAGUCGUAAAUAAGAGUUGAGAAAGAGGGGCUGUAUUUAAUGCACUCUUGUAUCUGGCUAUAUGUUUAAAAGAAAUUAGCCAUCACCACCAUUUUGUCAACUCCUUUCCCUUCUCAAGGAGUGUAUAGUGCUAGGGACCCUUUUCCAGAAUGAGUCUCAAAAGGGGUUUCAACCCCGUCAAUUGUUUACUUCAGAAACAACAUAUUAAAUGAUAAGUUGUUAAUAAUAAUAUUACCCGAU
RNAcentral lists this unclassified non-coding RNA (1003 nucleotides) under Hevea brasiliensis (rubber tree). Lineage: Eukaryota; Viridiplantae; Streptophyta; Magnoliopsida; Malpighiales; Euphorbiaceae. The record is from RNAcentral.